GGCGGUUUGUCCGAGUGGUUAAGGAGUUGGACUUGAAAUCCAAUGGGCUCUGCCCGCGCAGGUUCGAACCCUGCAGCCGUCG
Molecule: non-coding RNA, 82 nt
Organism: Eimeria tenella
Lineage: Eukaryota; Apicomplexa; Conoidasida; Eucoccidiorida; Eimeriidae
Source: Rfam